GUGGGGAAUCUUGCGCAAUGGGCGAAAGCCUGACGCAGCCAUGCCGCGUGAAUGAUGAAGGUCUUAGGAUUGUAAAAUUCUUUCACCGGGGACGAUAAUGACGGUACCCGGAGAAGAAGCCCCGGCUAACUUCGUGCCAGCAGCCGCGGUAAUACGAAGGGGGCUAGCGUUGCUCGGAAUUACUGGGCGUAAAGGGAGCGUAGGCGGACAGUUUAGUCAGAGGUGAAAGCCCAGGGCUCAACCUUGGAAUUGCCUUUGAUACUGGCUGUCUUGAGUUUGAGAGAAGUGUGUGGAACUCCGAGUGUAGAGGUGAAAUUCGUAGAUAUUCGGAAGAACACCAGUGGCGAAGGCGACACACUGGCCCAAUACUGACGCUGAGGCUCGAAAGCGUGGGGAGCAAACAGGAUUAGAUACCCGAGUAGUCC
Molecule: ribosomal RNA, 425 nt
Filed under: uncultured bacterium
Lineage: Bacteria
Description: partial 16S ribosomal RNA
Rfam family: Bacterial small subunit ribosomal RNA
Source: RNAcentral